CCUGUGUCCUCUUUGUAACCCCGCCCCCUCGUCAUCCAAGCCCAGGUGUUUCUCACUCUCCUCUGUCCAGUCUUUUGUCCAGUCCGUGCCCCAUGUCCAGUCUAGGUCCCCUGCCCAGUCCCAGUCUCCGUUCCCUGUCCAGUCUCUGUCUCCUGUCCAGUCCCCGGUCAGUCCCUGUGUCCAGUCCCCUGUUCAGCCAUGUGUCCUGUCCCCAUCCCAGUCUGCAUUCCAGUCUCCGUCCCAUGUCAAGUUCCCUGCCCGGUCUCCGUCUCCUGUCCAGUUUCCAUUCCCUGUCCAGUCCCUCUGUUCCCUCUCUCUCGGCGCCUCUGGUAGUGGCGCCGUUGAGGGGGGGUAAUGUAACACCUCAGCCCAUGUCUGUCUUCUGUUUCUCCCUCAUUUGGUCUCUUGUGCUCCUGCCCCUCUGUUUACCUGUCAUGUUUCCCAGCCAUGUGCUAUUGUUGUAUUUAGUAUCUGUCUCCACCCUAGCUCCGCCCCAGCCCUGCCCUAUAGCAUUAGUGUUCUCACCUGUGUCCUCUUUGUAACCCCGCCCCCUCGUCAUCCAAGCCCAGGUGUUUCUCACUCUCCUCUUGUAUUUAAGCCCCUCUGUUUGAAUGUUCAGUGUCGAGUCUUUUGUAUCUUUGUAUCCUUGCUGUCCGUAUGUAUCCUAGUCUUAGUUUAGUAGUCUGUGUUUCUUAGUUUUUGUUCUAGUUUGAUAUUCUCCUUGCCUUGUUUUUUUUGUAAGUUUUUUGCGUUACCCGUGUUUUGUUUACUGUUUUAUUUUAUCUUGUUUGUUUAAAUAAAAUAUAUUUGC
RNAcentral lists this long non-coding RNA (811 nucleotides) under Astyanax mexicanus (Mexican tetra). RNAcentral's name for it is "lncRNA (ENSAMXG00005003960.1)". Lineage: Eukaryota; Metazoa; Chordata; Actinopteri; Characiformes; Acestrorhamphidae. The record is from RNAcentral.